RNAcentral lists this unclassified non-coding RNA (227 nucleotides) under Hevea brasiliensis (rubber tree). Lineage: Eukaryota; Viridiplantae; Streptophyta; Magnoliopsida; Malpighiales; Euphorbiaceae. The record is from RNAcentral.
UUCAAGCCUUCGGUGGCAUUUUUAAAAGUGUGACUUCUCGACUGUCCAGUCCAGGCAGAGUGUGGGGGAGGAUGAGAUGGGCGGUGGCACUGCUUGGCAUAGUCUCUCUCUUUCAGUAGCUCUAGGAUUUGUAUUAGCGGGCCUUGGCCAAACUUGUAAUAUAGAGCUACUUUUAGGCUCUAUUUGUUAACAUUGUGAUCUUUGGGCACUUAUUUGAGUUGUUCUUC